CACCAGGAGAUGAAAUCACCAAGGACAGUCUUGGGGGCUCCCACCCUCCACCUCUAAAUCCUGCCUCUCUGUAGCCGUGACCAGGGACGGUCGUUCCUCUCCUCCAACAGCACCCUUCUCUCCAAGGAAGUUCAGGUGUGUGAUUCCCUGACCCAGAAUUAGCGUGGAUGGCCUGGUCCCCAAGAGUCUGCCAAACAUCCGUGUUGAACAGGGAGAUGCGCCAGUGAAUGGCCUCUGCCCAACGUAGACCCUGGCCUCUAAGGAAGCCACAGGGAGGCUGUUCUUCCAAGCCCCAUUUCCCACCCAGUCGAGUUGUACCUGGGCCCCGCCGCUCAACCAGCCUCCUGUGGGGUCUGAUGAAAUGCUCUAAAAAUGCUCGCUUCCUACUUUGCCCCUCGUCAACCAUUCCUCAUCAAUGGGCUCCAACCUGCAGACGUCAGAACCAUGCAAGUUCUGGAGUCUGGGAAGUCUAAGAUCAAGGAGCCAGGAGGAUCAGUUGUCUGGGCAAAUCUGCCCUCUGCUUCUAAGAUGGCCCCUUGCCAAUGCAUCCUCUAGAGGGAUGAAGGUCGUACCCUCGCACAGCAGAGCGGGUGAAAGGAGCACAAAGAGUCCAUAGCUGCUCCGUACAGACAAACCAUCCUACUCCUCCAGUGAGGGAAAACAUGUUGGCCACCUCCUCUAGGAAAAUGUCAGCACCUGGGAUAUAGGAGCAAGGAGUCUCUGUGGAGUCGCCUAAGCCAUCUUCACCCGUGAGAAGUGAGGAGCUGAGCCCAG
This is a non-coding RNA of Ictidomys tridecemlineatus (thirteen-lined ground squirrel), 774 nucleotides long. NCBI's taxonomy places the organism in Eukaryota, Metazoa, Chordata, Mammalia, Rodentia, Sciuridae. The record is from RefSeq and is a predicted model, not a curated record.